This 5510-nucleotide long non-coding RNA is filed under the name Triticum aestivum (bread wheat). Its description in RNAcentral is "long non-coding RNA (TAES_LNC015879)". The record is from RNAcentral. Lineage: Eukaryota; Viridiplantae; Streptophyta; Magnoliopsida; Poales; Poaceae.
GCAUCUCCAUCUCUCUCUCCCUCACCACUUCUUCUCCCACCUUCGACCGCCGUCGCGGCCAGGCCAUCGUGGCGGCGCGCCCCCGGACUUUGCUGCUCCACCAGCACCACAUCAUCCAGCCACCACUCCGUCUUCGCCGCCAUCACCUUGGGCGCUCCACUUCGUCGCCGCGCCUGGCGCGCCCGACCAGACGGGUGUCUAGUUCCCCGCGCCACCUGCUGCUGCUCUCUCCCUCUCCGCUGCUCCUCCCCUCGUCUCCACUUCCUCUGUUUCUCUUCUUCUUCUUCUCCUAACCCUGCUAUUGCUCUUCUUCUUCUCUCAACGUUCCUGCUACUCCUUCUCCUUGCAUCCCCUUGCUGUAGUUGCCUCAACCUGCUGCUUCUUCUCCAAUCCCCACGCUGCUCCUAUUCCCUUUCCUUGCUGGUGUUCCUUUACUGAAGGAAACAACCUGCUGUUGUUCUUUACUUGUUGCUGACCCUGUUCUUCUCUGAACCCAAACUGCUGCUGCUUCUCUUCUCUUUUUACUUCUUGCAAAAUUCUGUAAACUGCUAGGUGAACUUGUGUACUGUUCUGAAUACUUAAUUUUCUGUAAGUUGAGGUGUGUGAAAUCUCUGUAAUUUUGACAAGUUUAUUGUUCAGUACUUUGUAAUAUUCAGCAUUGAGAUGUUUUAGUAGAUGCAAUAUUCAGAUUUGGGAAAAACUUGCAACCUGACAAUUGUUCAGUUUCGUACUUGUAAAAUAUAGUGCACUUUAUUAUGUGCUCUGACUAGUUAAUGUCUAGUUGUUUGGAUAAUAUUUAGUAUAUGUGAUAUGCUCUGUGAUAUAGUAAUAUUCUAGUAUAUGUCUGUGAUCCCCUAUGUGUAUGUUUCUUGACAUCUACUGUAAUUUGUCAUGUACUAGUAACUUUGCUAUAGUCUAAUUGAUGUUCAGUUGUUAGUCUCUGUGCAAGCUAUGUACCAGUGGCAUUUAUGCUUGUGAUUUUCCAGUGAACUUGUUUAAUUUCAGUUCAUAUGUUAGCACAAGUACCUUUGCUAUAUAAAUGUAUAUGUGUGUGCUUGUGAUUUAAACAAUCUGUUUUCUGUUCAGUAAUUUUGUUUCUUCCCUUCUUCCCUUUUUUAUACACUUGCUAGAUAUAUAUAUAUGUCCAUGUCUUUUGACUUCCCUUGUCACUGAUGCUAGUAUUGUAGUUCUCUAGUAGUUUGAAAAUACCAAUUAGAGAGUGAGUGUCAACCUUAAUUUCCCUGUGUUGUUUGUCAUCGUCCUUGAUUAUUUUAGGUUUAUAUUUUCUUGCGAUCAUCACCCUUAUUGUGUUAUCUAGCUUUCGCCAAGCAUAGUUGCCGUUUCCUAGUCCCUGAGGAGAACACGACAUCCGUAGUUUGGGCAUAAAAACCCUCCUAUAUUAGAAACGGUCAUUUUGGCGCCGUUGCCGGGGACUAGCGUCGAGCGAUUAUUUUAGGCUAUAGACUAGGUUUACUUUAGUUCCUUGUUCAAUUCGCCGUGUAUUUCAUCUUCAGUGUUUUUCUUCUAUCUUCCCCCAUUGUUGCUUCGGCUUAUUAGGAUACUAACCUUCUGACUAGUGUUUACUAUUUAUGAAUGUGUGUAGGGAAUCAUAAAUCUUUGCAGGUUGUUCUAUAGUUACACUUGGUUAAGAUAUGGCAUUGCUUCGUGAUCUUUGGAUGCCAAGUAGUCAAUGCUAUAUCACAGGACCGGUUUGGUCAACUAUUGGGGUAGAGAAUUUUGAGAUGAAGCCUGGUCUUAUUGCUUUGGUUCAACAACAAUAGUUUGGAGGACUGCCUACUGAGGAUCCCUAUGAGCACUUACACCGAGUCAUGGAGUAUUUAGAUACAGUCAAGUACCAUGGAGUUCCUCAAGAUGCAAUCAUGUGCAGGUUGUUCACAUUAUCCCUCCGCGAUGAUGCUCGUGCUUGGUAUCGAUCCUUGCCAUCAAGGUCAUACAGUUGGAAUGAGAUAUCGCGAGCUUUCUUGGAUAAAUAUUCCCCACUACACAAGCAGUCCGCAAUUCAAGAUGAGAUCUUCAAUUUUGUUCAGCGUGAAGGCGAGAGCUUGUAUGAUGCUUGGGAGACAUACAAAGCCUUAUUCAGGAGAUGUCCUAAUCAUGGGCUCGAGAGAUGGUUAGAGAUGCAAAUAUUCUAUAGAGGAUUGACUUCGGACACUCGAGCUUACGUCGAUAUGGCAGCAGGUGGAGCUAUUACAAACAAGACACUUGAUGAAGCUUUUCUGCUGAUUGAGAGCAUAGCUUUCCACCAACUUCAGUGGUACAAUAAGAAGCCCAUGUCUAAUUCAUUGGUUUGCUCGCAACAAAUCACUACACCUCAACCACCAAUUCUUACACAAAAGCCCGAGCCUCUAUCUCAGUGUGACAAGGUUGAGCUUGCAUGGAUUAUAUUUGACGAUGAUGACACCAUUCUAGUUGACACACACGCUACAGAUCAUCUGGAUACUAGUGUUGGAGAUUCAGUUUUGCAUUGUGAUGAUUCUUCCAUGGAUGAGCUAGAGCUGCAGUUCGUUACUUUUGAUAUUGAGGAGUCACCUUUAGUUGAUAUUGAUCAUGUGCUGCUAGAGCCAGAUAUGGAGAAGUUCGCCUUUGAUGAUGUUAGCCGCAUUGAUUCUUCAACACUUGAGCCUGAGAUGGAGUGCUUCAUGGUUGAUUAUGGUGAGGUGGAUUCAGAUGUCAAGGAGUCAAGCUCUAUUUCACUUGUUGACAUGAAUCCGGUGGAAAUUUCUACUACCACACCUCACCUGGUAUCUUCAAUGGAGGUAGUCCUGAAGCUUCUUCCUAACUAUCUCAGGUAUGAUCUCAGCUUUCUCGACAAGAUAUGCCAUAUCAUGGAUACUGCCUACGGACCAUGUGACUUGUUGUUGAUACAUGUUCCUGACUUGCUCAAUAGAUAUACUUAUAUGAUAGGGUACUCUAUCGAUGACUUAGAGGGCAUUCUCUCUGUCACUUGUAUUAUCUUGGUUGUUGAGUGUUCUUUCAGGUUGAUGCUUGUGUACCAUUUACUGCGAGUUGACCGAGUUCGAGAUGACAUUCCCUGGGAUCCUGGUGGACUCAGAGCAUGGGGAUGAGGAGAAGCAAGGGGGCACACACGAGGAAGGGAGAAGCUGGAGCAGGCAUGAGGAUAGAGAAGCAAAAGGAGAGGAGCUGCAGUUGGUGAGGUGAUCGAGCGAGUGCUACAUCAUCAAAGCCCGGUGAGCUAUUUCAUGACCCAUUCCGAGUAUAUCAUCCAUUGAUACAUGCUGAAAUCAAAUGUUAUUUGGGUUGCUUAAGCCAUUUCUUAAAUGCCGUCCCACUGAAUUUUACCUUUGACAUAUGAUGCUUGAUGUGAAUAUGUGAACUGAAUCGUGAAUGCCUUGUAAACUAGUGAUCUACAUACUGCUUGUUUUGCUGAAACUAGUGAAAGUUAUUAGUUUUGAGUGCUCAAAUCCCUAGUACACUAGAAAACUUAAUCAUUUUCUGCUUUUACCUCGAUACACCUAGAUCACCAUGUUUAGAUGCUGAAUUUGUGCCAAGUGUCUUCCCAUUGAGAGCAAUCACCUAACCACUAUGGAUUAGCAUGCAAUGUUCCCUGGAUCGGUAGCAUGUGAACCAAACAUGGAGAAGUGAUGAUUCUUGUUUUUGUUCUUAUGCAUUGUUCAUUUAAGAUAAGUAAUAAUGAAUAAAUUAGUCUGCCUACCUACAGUAGCAUGUCAUGUUCCCGGGAUCGGUGGCAUGUGAAAUCGGGUUAGCUUGGGCAGUAAUUAACAAUAAUAGAAAUGUAAUUGUCGAACCAGGUGUAUACCAUGUUCUCGGGAUCGGUGGUAUGUUCCUUUGGGGAGACAAACUAAAAAAACUAAUAAUUGGUCGAGCCAGGUGUAUACCAUGUUCUCGGGAUCGGUGGUAUGUUCCUUUGGUGAGAUUGAUAAAAUAUUAUCAUUACUUCCUUCAAAUUUAAUAAGUGGUUCAACCACAAUGUUAUAUUUUUGCAAAUAAGUGAUUUAAUUCAAGCUCCUUUUGUUCUCAGGAUCAUGCUCUCUUUAGGAACCUUUUGGCACAGUCAGCAUUUGAACUUGCUAAUCUUCGUUUAUCAUUGCAAAAGUUUAAAAUGGUCGAGUUUACUAGUGUCCUAUUGAUAUGUAGCACUCUUAACCAUUAAUUUUCACUAUCCAAGUCCAAAGCAUGCACUGUUUAGAGAUCUACUUCACUUGACAUUCUCUAGUCAGUUCACUGUUCAUGUUCUUACUUUUGUCAUAUGCCUUUGCUUGAGGACAAGCAAAGAUUUAAGUGUGGGGGAACUUGAUAAGCACAUUUCAUAUAUAUAAUUUUGACACACAAAUUCACCAUUUCUUGAGAUGUGUCCAUCUAUUCUUGCUAAGAAUUAUCGAAUAUUCCAUGAAAAUCAUAUAAUGAAUCAUUUACUAGUCAUUGUGUUUAUUUUGCAGAAAAGUGCGCAAAGGCACUAUAAGCUCUAAGAUCUGGACUAGGUGGCUAAGAGAACCAGUCAAGUGAAAAGAAAGAAGAAGGACGGAGGGACUUGUGUGUGAUGAUAAGAAGUAACCAGAGGGGUUAGCCAAAGAAGAGAGGGACCAAUUUGAGAAGAAAGAAGAGAAGUAGGAGGGCAAAAUUGCAAAGUGGUAGAUAAGAUCAUGGGGGAUCAAAAUCCCUAGUGCAGCCACCAAUCCCCUUCGGAGCCUGGCAUCUCCAUCUCUCUCCCCCUCACCACUUCUUCUCCCACCUUCGGCCGCCGUCGCGGCCAGGCCAUCGUGGCGGCGCGCCUCCGGACUUCGCUGCUCCACCAGCACCUUCACCCACCAGCACCACAUCAUCCAGCCACCACUCCAUCUUCGUCACCAUCACCUUGGGCGCUCCACUUCGUCGCCGCGCCUGGCGCGCCCGACCAGACGGGUCUCUAGUUCCCCGCGCCACCUGCUGCUGCUCUCUCCCUCUCCGCGGCUCCUCCCCUCAUCUCCACUUCCUCUGUUUCUCUUCUUCUUCUCCUAACCCUGCUAUUGCUCUUCUUCUUCUCUCAACGUUCCUGCUGCUCCUUCUCCUUGCAUCCCCUUGCUGUAGUUGCCUCAACCUGCUGCUUCUUCUCCAAUCCCCACGCUGCUCCUAUUCCCUUUCCUGGCUGGUGUUCCUUUACUGAAGAAAACAACCUGCUGUUGUUCUUUACUUGUUGCUGACCCUGUUCUUCUCUGAACCCAAACUGCUGCUGCUUCUCUUCUCUUUUUACUUCUUGCAAAAUUCUAUAAACUGCUAGGUGAACUUGUGUACUGUUCUGAAUACUUAAUUUUCUGUAAGUUGAGGUGUGUGAAAUCUCUGUAAUUUUGACAAGUUUAUUGUUCUGUACUUUGUAAUAUUCAACAUUGAGAUGUUUUAGUAGAUGCAAUAUUCAGAUUUGGGAAAAACUUGCAACCUGACAAUUGUUCAGUUUCGUACUUGUAAAAUAUAGUGCACUUUAUUAUGUGCGCUGACUAGUUAAUGUCUAGUUGUUUGGAUAAUAUUUAGUAUAU